UAGUCUGCAACUCGACUACAUGAAGCUGGAAUCGCUAGUAAUCGCGAAUCAGAAUGUCGCGGUGAAUACGUUCCCGGGUCUUGUACACACCGCCCGUCACACCAUGGGAGUCAGUAACGCCCGAAGCCGGUGACCCAACCGAUAAGGAGGGAGCCGUCGAAGGUGGGACCGAUAACUGGGGUGAAGUCGUAACAAGGUACC
This 201-nucleotide ribosomal RNA is filed under the name uncultured bacterium. RNAcentral describes it as "partial 16S ribosomal RNA". It matches the Rfam family "Bacterial small subunit ribosomal RNA", at positions 1301 to 1500 of the family's 1533-position model. The record is from RNAcentral.